GCAACCCUGCCAGCCACCCAAAGAUCUUCGAGUUAAGUCUUGCAGAGUUGAAGGGCCGUUAAGUCACCUACUCCUGUAGUUAUUAAACCAACUAAUAAUGGGUAUCGACUCGGUCAAAUAUAAGCGCCCACUUCUCUUAGGAGGAAUCUUGGCCAUAAUGUCAAUAGGCUAUACCUACAGGCUUGAGUUAAUUGGAGACAUUUCCAAAGAGAAAGAAGCACUGUUCCAACAAACUGACGUAGAUGGGAGCAGCAAGAUUAAGAACAGUAUUCGAGAAACUCAUUUAGAAUACUUCAGAAGCUUAACAAGAGACAAAAAAUGAUACCCUGCUUAAACAAAAGGAUUCUUUGUAUGUUUCAGUGCAACAGAAUUUGCAUAUACGUUUGGCUGUGUACUGAUUGAAUUAUAUCCAUGUAAAUAUUUAGAUAUUAGAUUUAUUUUCAUUAUACAUAAUUAUUAAAAUGUUUCUUGAUUUUCAUUGCACACUACAAGACCUUGUGUAAAUUUCUAGUGCAGUACUAUAUAGAUACUGUACAUAAAUUUCAAUUUCUGUGAGGGCAACCAAAAUUCUGAUUGGUGAAGUUGUUUCUGUAGCUGCAAAAAAAUGAAGAUUGGUUCUUGAAAUUUAAAUUGGUUACAGUAUACUGUACUCUCGAUUUAACAGAAUCCGAUACAGUAUAAUGAACUCUUGAUUUAACAGAAGGAUUUUUUUUCCGUUUUUCACCUGAUUUUAGUAAACUAGUUCACUAAAUCGAGAUUAAUUCCGUUAAUACGCUACACCUAUGGAGACACCUCAGACAUAUAAUAAGAACUGUACAUAGAAACAUUAGAAACAUUAUUCAUGGCUUACCUUAAACUAGGGGGUUCGAUGUUUGUUUUCAAUAUUUUCAAUUAUUUACAAACUUUCCAAUUGAUAGCCGCACUCUUUUGACUUUCUCCCCCACACCAUUUCCUUUCCGAGACUUCUGAGAGACUUUCAGCAUGAUGUCUAAGCACAGUACAGAAGUUAGUUGACAGAGAGGUAGCACUGAUCAACACAAGCGGUGGCGGCAGGUCACAGACUGAGCGGAUGCAAACAAACCCCACAUGCCAAGCGGCACAUAUGGUACAGAAUUUAAUGGAUUCACGCUCUAUUUAGCGAACCAGUUCGCUAAAUCAAGCAAAAAUAACGGAAAUUCAACUUAGCAGAAAUUUAAAUUUAACGGAAAGGGGUGGCUCGAAUUAGUUCAUUAUAUUGAGAAAUUACUGUACUUUUAUUGUAGUAUAUGAGGCGUUCCGCAUUACAAGGGGGUAAAGCGCCAAAUUUAAAAAGCGGAGAAAAACGCCUUUAGAGUUUUUCGAAGUUCAAACAACCAUAACUUUGUUUAGCUUUUAAGCUAAAGAGUUAAUUUUUUAUCAUGGAGCUCAAUCCCUCUCCUAGCGAACAGUGAAAACUGGAAGUUAGUACAGGUUGUACCUCUCUAGUCCGGCAACCUCGGGACCUGACCGGUGCCGGACCAUGGAAAUUCAACCUCGAAACACCGUACAUAAAGCACAAAUACAUAAUAUAGGAAAUAAAUAAAUAAGAAAAAGUAAUACUUCUCACACAAGCUCCAUACCGACACCUUUAUCUAAUUUCUGCAAUAGUUCAACCAUUUUCUGGAUAGAUAGUGACUUGUGCUUACGCUUGGAAGCACUAGCACCACUUUCACUGCAUCCGAACUGCCGGAUGUAAACAAACUUUAAUUUCCAACCGCCACUCCGCCAACGCCACGUAGCGGCUAUUGGGCAAACUAAAAUCGUUCCGGGCCACAGAAUGCCGGACUAGAGAGGUACAACCUGUAUACUGUGAAUAGUUAUUAUUUUAUCACGAGUUAAAUGAGAAUACCCCUGUAACUGUCGUGUAUGGUUGUUUGCUCUUCAAACCAACAAUAAUUGCGUUUUUCUGCAAAAAUUUCUUAUUAUUGUGGAUUAAUACUGUAAAACAAGUUAAUGAUCACCAAAAACAACACUCGUCUUACACUCCCCCAAAAAAAAAAAAUAAUAAAAAACUCAUUUGCCUAUCAGUAUUUAUCUUUCUGUCCCUAUUAUUAGCCAAAGAUUUAUAAUAUUGUGUAGUAUAAUAGUGUGUAAUAUGAAGGAAACACCACUACACUCAUACCCCCCCACCAUUAACCUCUCCCCUCCCCCAACGUAAUUAACGUACGAACACAAAGGCAGAGAAAGUUUGCAUAAUCUUGGGUAAAAACAGUACUGUAUUAUGAAAAUAGUAUUAAAAUCUUACUUUGCUUA
Long non-coding RNA from Homarus americanus (American lobster), 2271 nucleotides. RefSeq lists it as uncharacterized. The record is from RefSeq and is a predicted model, not a curated record. Lineage: Eukaryota; Metazoa; Arthropoda; Malacostraca; Decapoda; Nephropidae. The transcript is spliced from 3 exons.